GGCUUCGUGGUAUAUUGGUAGCACACUCGGUGCGUAUUCGAGAGGUCCAGGUUCGAAUCCCGGUGAGGGCA
This 71-nucleotide transfer RNA is filed under the name Stegodyphus mimosarum. It matches the Rfam family "tRNA". Rfam says of the family: Transfer RNA (tRNA) molecules are approximately 80 nucleotides in length. Their secondary structure includes four short double-helical elements and three loops (D, anti-codon, and T loops). Further hydrogen bonds mediate the characteristic L-shaped molecular structure. tRNAs have two regions of fundamental functional importance: the anti-codon, which is responsible for specific mRNA codon recognition, and the 3' end, to which the tRNAs corresponding amino acid is attached (by aminoacyl-tRNA synthetases). tRNAs cope with the degeneracy of the genetic code in two manners: having more than one tRNA (with a specific anti-codon) for a particular amino acid; and 'wobble' base-pairing, i.e. permitting non-standard base-pairing at the 3rd anti-codon position. The record is from Rfam by way of RNAcentral. Lineage: Eukaryota; Metazoa; Arthropoda; Arachnida; Araneae; Eresidae.